RNAcentral lists this long non-coding RNA (252 nucleotides) under Homo sapiens (human). RNAcentral's name for it is "HSALNT0293746". Lineage: Eukaryota; Metazoa; Chordata; Mammalia; Primates; Hominidae. The record is from RNAcentral.
GCCAUUUCAUCUGAAUUUGUUGUAGCUGGGGACUUAACAGGAAAUAUCAGCUGAUGAAGGAAAUGCCAGACAUUCGUUACUAACAAUAACUGAAUACCUAUUGUGCAUGUCCUAUGGGGAAUAGCAGUUAGAAAAACAGGAAAUGUAGCAGAAAAUGGUUGGCCAGCUACUUUGGAAGUCCAGAGCUACGUUAUUAAAAUCAGAAACAUCCACUGCUAGGAUAAAAAUGCAAAUAUAUGCACCACUUUUCUU